This 111-nucleotide microRNA precursor is filed under the name Medicago truncatula (barrel medic). RNAcentral's name for it is "miR5277 stem-loop (mtr-MIR5277)". The record is from miRBase by way of RNAcentral. Lineage: Eukaryota; Viridiplantae; Streptophyta; Magnoliopsida; Fabales; Fabaceae.
CCUUGCUUGUCUUGGACUUCAAGAAACAACUUUGUUUGACUUGCACUUCAAGGUUGUUUCUCGAAGUGCAAGACAAGCAAGGUUGUUUCUUGAAGUGCAAGGCAAGCAAGG